GCGAUCAUACCACCACUAAUGCACCGGAUCCCAUCAGAACUCCGAAGUUUACCGUGCUUGGGCGAGAGCAGUACUAGGAUGGGUGACCCCCUGGGAAGUCCUCGUGUUGCACCU
Molecule: ribosomal RNA, 114 nt
Filed under: Zingiber officinale
Lineage: Eukaryota; Viridiplantae; Streptophyta; Magnoliopsida; Zingiberales; Zingiberaceae
Source: RNAcentral